Carassius auratus (goldfish) is the source of this 566-nucleotide long non-coding RNA. RefSeq lists it as uncharacterized. The transcript is spliced from 3 exons. The record is from RefSeq and is a predicted model, not a curated record. NCBI's taxonomy places the organism in Eukaryota, Metazoa, Chordata, Actinopteri, Cypriniformes, Cyprinidae.
CCCCCCUCCAGCCAAUCAGCGUAGGAUCCGAUAAACGUUCCUGGCGUUAUGUCUGCAUCCUCGCUCCGUCUGUUGUAAGGAUGUGAUGAUGUAUUUGAGUUUAACACAUAGGUAAGCAGCUAAGCGUUUACCGUGCUCUUCGGUUGUUUUCGGUGAGAUCUCGUGCGUGAUGCGGUGGCUGAAGCUGGCGGACAUGGCGGACGGAGAGAGACGGUCGGUGCAGAAUCCGAAGAAAUGAGCGAAUCAGAACGCACAGAGACUUCAUUACAGGCCGUUCGCUACAUAUAAUAAUAAUAACACGAUGAUCCUGACAGCAUAUAUGGACACCUGUGUCCUUCACCAGGCUCAAGCGGUGUGGCCAUAGCAGCAGUUCUGGAGGAAGAGGAGCAGCGAGUGUUUCGGUGGCGCCACGCCCUGCUGCAGGGCAUGGAGUACCACAGUUCAGGGACAGUGCCUCUCCUGGGAAGCCCUCGCUACUGUCCUGGCACCAACAGCGCUAGCGGCUACCUCUGUCAGACCGGACACUGCUGUCAGGAGACGGGCUGCUGCACCUACUACUACGAGCU